Molecule: ribosomal RNA, 1343 nt
Filed under: uncultured bacterium
Lineage: Bacteria
Description: 16S ribosomal RNA
Rfam family: Bacterial small subunit ribosomal RNA
Source: RNAcentral
GACGAACGCUGUCGGCGUGCUUAACACAUGCAAGUCGAACGGAAAGGCCCUGCUUUUGUGGGGUGCUCGAGUGGCGAACGGGUGAGUAACACGUGAGUAACCUGCCCUUGACUUUGGGAUAACUUCAGGAAACUGGGGCUAAUACCGGAUAGGAGCUCCUGCUGCAUGGUGGGGGUUGGAAAGUUUCGGCGGUUGGGGAUGGACUCGCGGCUUAUCAGCUUGUUGGUGGGGUAGUGGCUUACCAAGGCUUUGACGGGUAGCCGGCCUGAGAGGGUGACCGGCCACAUUGGGACUGAGAUACGGCCCAGACUCCUACGGGAGGCAGCAGUGGGGAAUAUUGCACAAUGGGCGGAAGCCUGAUGCAGCAACGCCGCGUGCGGGAUGACGGCCUUCGGGUUGUAAACCGCUUUCGCCUGUGACGAAGCGUGAGUGACGGUAAUGGGUAAAGAAGCACCGGCUAACUACGUGCCAGCAGCCGCGGUGAUACGUAGGGUGCGAGCGUUGUCCGGAUUUAUUGGGCGUAAAGGGCUCGUAGGUGGUUGAUCGCGUCGGAAGUGUAAUCUUGGGGCUUAACCCUGAGCGUGCUUUCGAUACGGGUUGACUUGAGGAAGGUAGGGGAGAAUGGAAUUCCUGGUGGAGCGGUGGAAUGCGCAGAUAUCAGGAGGAACACCAGUGGCGAAGGCGGUUCUCUGGGCCUUUCCUGACGCUGAGGAGCGAAAGCGUGGGGAGCGAACAGGCUUAGAUACCCUGGUAGUCCACGCUGUAAACGGUGGGUACUAGGUGUGGGGUCCAUUCCACGGGUUCCGUGCCGUAGCUAACGCUUUAAGUACCCCGCCUGGGGAGUACGGCCGCAAGGCUAAAACUCAAAGGAAUUGACGGGGCCCCGCACAAGCGGCGGAGCAUGCGGAUUAAUUCGAUGCAACGCGUAGAACCUUACCUGGGUUUGACAUGGAUCGGGAGUGCUCAGAGAUGGGUGUGCCUCUUUUGGGGUCGGUUCACAGGUGGUGCAUGCCUGUCGUCAGCUCGUGUCGUGAGAUGUUGGGUUAAGUCCCGCAACGAGCGCAACCCUUGUUCACUGUUGCCAGCACGUUAUGGUGGGGACUCAGUGGAGACCGCCGGGGUCAACUCGGAGGAAGGUGGGGAUGACGUCGAGUCCUCAUGCCCCUUAUGUCCAGGGCUUCACGCAUGCUACAAUGGCUGGUACAGAGAGUGGCGAGCCUGUGAGGGUGAGCGAAUCUCGGAAAGCCGGUCUCAGUUCGGAUUGGGGUCUGCAACUCGACCUCAUGAAGUCGGAGUCGCUAGUAAUCGCAGAUCAGCAACGCUGCGGUGAAUACGUUCCCGGG